UGCAGGUGAGAUGAUACCGUCA
Molecule: microRNA, 22 nt
Filed under: Citrus sinensis (sweet orange)
Lineage: Eukaryota; Viridiplantae; Streptophyta; Magnoliopsida; Sapindales; Rutaceae
Description: csi-miR391-5p
Gene: csi-miR391-5p
Source: miRBase by way of RNAcentral